Molecule: ribosomal RNA, 87 nt
Filed under: Morella pensylvanica (northern bayberry)
Lineage: Eukaryota; Viridiplantae; Streptophyta; Magnoliopsida; Fagales; Myricaceae
Description: partial 5.8S ribosomal RNA
Rfam family: 5.8S ribosomal RNA
About the family: 5.8S ribosomal RNA (5.8S rRNA) is a component of the large subunit of the eukaryotic ribosome. It is transcribed by RNA polymerase I as part of the 45S precursor that also contains 18S and 28S rRNA.
Source: RNAcentral
UGCAGAAUCCCGCGAAUCAUCGAGUUUUUGAACGCAAGUUGCGCCCAAAGCCAUUUGGCCGAGGGCACGUCUGCCUGGGUGUCACGC